This 534-nucleotide ribosomal RNA is filed under the name uncultured bacterium. Its description in RNAcentral is "bacterial SSU rRNA". It matches the Rfam family "Bacterial small subunit ribosomal RNA", at positions 49 to 625 of the family's 1533-position model. The record is from RNAcentral.
UUACACAUGCAAGUCGAACGGAAACUUGUUUUCGUGGCGAACGGGUGAGUAGAUGCAGAAUUUUUCCUUCUAGUUCAGUACAAAAAUUCUUUAUUGAAUUCAAAUUCUGAAUAACUGAAAGGUUUGUUUCAUACAUUCCGCUACAAGAUAAAUCUGCUAAAGAUUAGGUUGUUGGUAAUUUAAUAGCUUACCAAGCCUUUGAUCUUUAGUUGGUCUUAGAGGAUGAUCAACCACACUGGAACUGAAAUAAGGUCCAGGCUGACAUGUCGGCCAGCAGUGAGGAAUAUUGGACAAUGAACGAAAGUUUGAUCCAGCAAUUCUAACUGGGUGAUGACGGCUUAUUUAAGUUGUAAGAUCCUUUGAUUAAAGAAGAUAAUGACAUUAUUUAAUUGAAUUAGUCCUGGCUAAUACUCGUGCCAGCAGCCGCGGUAAUACGGGCAGGGCAAGCGUUAUCCGGCAUGACUGGGCGUAAAGAGUCCGUAGACUGUAAAGUAAGUUUUUUGUCAAAUUCUAAAACUCAAUUUUAAAACAGCA